UUUGGAGAAAACUGUUAUAGCAAAUAAGUUUGGUGAAAAAAAAAUGCAGCAUAAUGUUUAACUAUUAGAGUUUGAUUAACUAUUUUUAGGACUAAAACAUUAUUAUUUUAUUUCUCGAAGACUAUUUUUUUGGUGUCCUUAUUUGUGGAGAAUAAUAUGCUAGAAUACAUAUCUUAAUGGCUAUUGGCUAAAGUAUAGUUUUACCCAAAAAUAUAUUUGACACCGUCUUAUUGUUGUGCCUUUUCCUUGCUUUGCUUGGCCGUUAACUUGUGCUCUACAUAAAUUACAUCCUACUAGAGUCAACAACCAAUACCGCACAUCCAAAACCUAAACAUUACAUAACUAAUUAAGCUCCCGCUUCCACGACAGAUACAUUCUGUAAGGGAAGUUGAGCGAAACAUUAUGGGAUUUGUUUCUAUUAUGCAACUAAAAUUAAUUAGCUGCAACCCUUAAUGUUUACGAUUCCGAGUGAUUCAACUUGAUGUAAAACCAAGGCAAAUACAAUAAAACAGAAACAAUGCUAAUUGCUAAACUGAUGGUGCUUAUGCUGCUUUGUAGAUACAUGAAAAUUUUCACACUGAAUUUCAAUUUACUA
Molecule: non-coding RNA, 595 nt
Organism: Arachis ipaensis
Lineage: Eukaryota; Viridiplantae; Streptophyta; Magnoliopsida; Fabales; Fabaceae
Source: RefSeq, a predicted model, not a curated record